GGGAAUAUGGCUUAGUGGUAGAGUGCUUGCCUAGCAUACAUGAGGGCUUAGGUUCAAUUCCUUAGUCCCA
This 70-nucleotide transfer RNA is filed under the name Dipodomys ordii (Ord's kangaroo rat). It matches the Rfam family "tRNA". Rfam says of the family: Transfer RNA (tRNA) molecules are approximately 80 nucleotides in length. Their secondary structure includes four short double-helical elements and three loops (D, anti-codon, and T loops). The record is from Rfam by way of RNAcentral. Lineage: Eukaryota; Metazoa; Chordata; Mammalia; Rodentia; Heteromyidae.